RNAcentral lists this ribosomal RNA (469 nucleotides) under uncultured bacterium. RNAcentral's name for it is "partial 16S ribosomal RNA". It matches the Rfam family "Bacterial small subunit ribosomal RNA", at positions 28 to 507 of the family's 1533-position model. The record is from RNAcentral.
GACGAACGCUGGCGGCGUGCUUAACACAUGCAAGUCGAACGGAAAGGCCCUGCUUGCAGGGUGCUCGAGUGGCGAACGGGUGAGUAACACGUGGGUGAUCUGCCCCUUACUUUGGGAUAAGCCUGGGAAACUGGGUCUAAUACUGGAUAGGACCAUGCUGUAGGUGGUGUGGUGGAAAGAUUAGUUUCGGUAAGGGAUGAGCUCGCGGCCUAUCAGCUUGUUGGUGGGGUAAUGGCCUACCAAGGCGUCGACGGGUAGCCGGCCUGAGAGGGUGGACGGCCAGAUUGAGACUGAGAUGCGGCCCAGACUCCUACGGGAGGCAGCAGUGGGGAAUAGUGCACAAUGGGCGCAAGCCGGAUGCAGCGACGCCGCGUGGGGGAUGACGGCCUUCGGGUUGUAAACUCCUUUCAGCCAUGACGAAGCCCUUGUGGUGACGGUAGUGGUAGAAGAAGCACCGGCUAACUACGUG